UGGCCUUGACAUACUAAGAACUUUCCAGAGAUGGAUUGGUGCCUUCGGGAACUUAGAUACAGGUGCUGCAUGGCUGUCGUCAGCUCGUGUCGUGAGAUGUUGGGUUAAGUCCGCAACGAGCGCAACCCUUUUCCUUAUUUGCCAGCGGGUAAUGCCGGGAACUUUAAGGAUACUGCCAGUGACAAACUGGAGGAAGGCGGGGACGACGUCAAGUCAUCAUGGCCCUUACGGCCAGGGCUACACACGUGCUACAAUGGUCGGUACAAAGGGUUGCUACCUCGCGAGAGGAUGCUAAUCUCAAAAGGCCGAUCGUAGUCCGGAUCGCAGUCUGCAACUCGACUGCGUGAAGUCGGAAUCGCUAGUAAUCGCGGAUCAGAAUGCCGCGGUGAAUACGUUCCCGGGCCUUGUACACACCGCCCGUCACACCAUGGGAGUUUGUUGCACCAGAAGUAGGUAGUCUAACCGCAAGGAGGACGCUUACCACGGUGUGGCCGAUGACUGGGGUGAAGUCGUAACAAGGUAGGCGUAGAUGA
This 533-nucleotide ribosomal RNA is filed under the name uncultured bacterium. RNAcentral's name for it is "bacterial SSU rRNA". It matches the Rfam family "Bacterial small subunit ribosomal RNA", at positions 976 to 1509 of the family's 1533-position model. The record is from RNAcentral.